CUACGGGCGGCAGCAGUGAGGAAUUUUGCGCAAUGGGGGCAACCCUGACGCAGCAACGCCGCGUGAGUGAAGAAGGCCCUUGGGUCGUAAAGCUCUGUCAAUGGGGAAGAAGUUACUUGGUAUUAAUAGUGCCUUGUAUUGACGGUACCCAUGAAGGAAGCACCGGCUAACUCCGUGCCAGCAGCCGCGGUAAUACGGGGGGUGCAAGCGUUAUUCGGAAUUAUUGGGCGUAAAGGGCACGCAGGCGGUCCUGUCAGUCAGAUGUGAAAGCCCAGGGCUCAACCCUGGACGUGCAUUUGAAACAGCAGGACUUGAGUACGGGAGAGGAAAGGGGAAUUCCUGGUGUAGAGGUGAAAUUCGUAGAUAUCAGGAGGAACACCGGUGGCGAAGGCGCCUUUCUGGACCGAUACUGACGCUGAGGUGCGAAGGCGUGGGUAGCGAACGGGAUUAGAUACCCUGGUAGUC
RNAcentral lists this ribosomal RNA (465 nucleotides) under uncultured bacterium. Its description in RNAcentral is "partial 16S ribosomal RNA". It matches the Rfam family "Bacterial small subunit ribosomal RNA", at positions 339 to 795 of the family's 1533-position model. The record is from RNAcentral.